CCAAAUCAAGUUUGCUUACAGAACCUAAAUUACGGGAAAUAGAUGUAACAUAAAGAGUGUGAUAUAAAUCUAGACAAAAUUCACCAUCUAAAUGAGACGAUAGGUGCCAAUAGCUUCCACUGGCGCCUUGUCUCGAUUUCUCAUCAAUAAGUAGUUUUCACUUGAAUUUAUAGUCUGGAUCGUAAGGAAUCCCUGUACGGAAUUCGUUACAUGUAUAUUAGCACAACUAUCAAUCCACCAAGCUUUAGUAGAGACAUGAGUAUGAUUAGAUUCGAAAAAGCUUACGGAACCCAUAGGAUUACCUUUCUUUUCGAACCAUUCUCUUCUUUUAGUACAAUCUUU
RNAcentral lists this long non-coding RNA (342 nucleotides) under Arabidopsis lyrata. RNAcentral describes it as "long non-coding RNA (ALYR_LNC000553)". The record is from RNAcentral. Lineage: Eukaryota; Viridiplantae; Streptophyta; Magnoliopsida; Brassicales; Brassicaceae.